UUGAUCCUGGCUCAGGAUGAACGCUGGCGGUCUGCUUAACACAUGCAAGUCGAACGGGCUCUUCGGAGCUAGUGGCGGACGGGUGAGUAACGCGUGAGAAUCUGCCUUCAGGAGGGGGAUAACGACUGGAAACGGUCGCUAAUACCCCAUAUGCCUACGGGUGAAAUGUUUUUCGCCUGAAGAUGGGCUCGCGUCCGAUUAGCUAGUUGGUGAGGUAAGAGCUUACCAAGGCAACGAUCGGUAGCUGGUCUGAGAGGAUGAUCAGCCACACUGGGACUGAGACACGGCCCAGACUCCUACGGGAGGCAGCAGUGGGGAAUUUUCCGCAAUGGGCGCAAGCCUGACGGAGCAAGACCGCGUGCGGGAUGACGGCCUAAUGGUUGUAAACCGCUCUUCUCUGGGAAGAAGAUGACGGUACCAGAGGAAUAAGCCUCGGCUAACUCCGUGCCAGCAGCCGCGGUAAUACGGAGGAGGCAAGCGUUAUCCGGAAUUAUUGGGCGUAAAGCGUCCGUAGGUGGUUCAUCAAGUCAGCUGUUAAAGAGCGGAGCUCAACUCCGUCGGAGCGGUUGAAACUGGUGAACUAGAGUUUGGUAGGGGUCGAGGGAAUUCCCAGUGUAGCGGUGAAAUGCGUAGAUAUUGGGAAGAACACCGGUGGCGAAAGCGCUCGGCUGGGCCAAAACUGACACUGAGGGACGAAAGCUAGGGGA
Molecule: ribosomal RNA, 707 nt
Filed under: uncultured organism
Description: bacterial SSU rRNA
Rfam family: Bacterial small subunit ribosomal RNA
Source: RNAcentral